ACAGAUUAAACCGGAUUUGAUAAACCAAGUGAUACGUCCGGAACUUUGGUAGUAGUAAUUCGAGGAUAGCUUCAUUCAUGCCGGUUCUCGGUCAAGCAAAAGCGCCACCAUACCAAUUCCGAAGAAGAGAGAGAAAGUCUGCUGACGCCGUCGAGUUUCUCUCUCUAAAACCCGCACAUAUUCAUCUAAUCCUUGUAAGAUUUUGUGUUAAUUUCUCUUUUGUGAAUUGACUUUUUUUUAUAUAUUAAUAGUAUUUGGUGUAUAAUUUUGAUCAAAGUUAUUUCAGGUUUGCUGAUUGUUUUUUCACUUGCAAUAUGAUUCAGAUCAAUUAUUAAUUGGAUAUUUCAACAACUGCUACGGAGUAACUUCUUGCAGUUGUGUGUAUCUACGGAAGGGUAUAAAGAUGGAUUUGGUUGCUAGUUGCAAG
Molecule: long non-coding RNA, 427 nt
Filed under: Nicotiana tabacum (common tobacco)
Lineage: Eukaryota; Viridiplantae; Streptophyta; Magnoliopsida; Solanales; Solanaceae
Description: long non-coding RNA (NTAB_LNC002733)
Source: RNAcentral